UCAAGCGAACAAGGGCGCAGGGCGAAUGCCUUGGCACUGGGAGCCGAUGAAAGACGUGAUAAGCUGCGAUAAGCUUCGGGGAGCUGCAAAUAAGCAUUGAUCCGGAGAUUUCUGAAUGAGGAAACUCACCUGGGUUCAUACUCAGGUACAAUACACUGAAAUUUAAAAUAGGUGUAUUGAGGGAACCGCCUGAACUGAAACAUCUAAGUAGGGCGAGGAAGAGACAUCAAACGAGAUUCCGUAAGUAGUGGCGAGCGAACGCGGAAGAGGGCAAACCGAGAGUAGAAAUACUUUCGGGGUACGGACUGCUUUUAAGACUCAAUCUGUUAACCGAACGGCAUGGGAAGGCCGGUCAGAGAGUGUGAGAACCACGUAGGUGAAAACGGAGAGAGCUGCGCAGGAUCCAGAGUACGGCCAGACACGUGAAACCUGGUCGGAAUACGGGGGGACCACCCUCCAACCCUAAAUACUACCCAGUGACCGAUAGCGUAUAGUACUGUGAAGGAAAGGUGAAAAGCACCCCGGGAGGGGAGUGAAAAAGAACCUGAAACCCUGUGCCUACAAGCACCUAGAGCGCGUCAAAGCGUGAUAGGGUACUUUUUGUAGAACGGUCCGGCGAGCGAUUGUAUGCAGCAAGGUUAAGGACUUAAGGUCUGGAGCCGAAGCGAAAGCGAGUUUGAAAAGGGCGUUAAGUUGCAUAUAAUGGGCCCGAAACCGGGUGACCUACCCAUGGUCAGGUUGAAGUGGAAGUAAAAUUCCAUGGAGGACCGAACCGACCUCCGUUGAAAAGGCGGCGGAUGAACUGUGGGUAGCGGAGAAAUUCCAAUCGAACCCGGAGAUAGCUGGUUCUCCCCGAAAUAGUUUUAGGACUAGCCUCAAGUUAGAUACCUGGAGGUAAAGCACUGAAUAGCCUAGCGGCCGAGAGGUUAGCGAAGCUUAUCAAACUCAGAAUGCCAGAGUAUUGAUGCUUGGGAGUCAGACAGUGUCAGAUAAAUGUCAUUGUCAAAAGGGAAACAGCCCAGAUCUACAGCUAAGGUCCCAAAGUCAGGUUAAGUGGAAAACGAUGUGAAGAUACGCAGACAACCAGGAUGUUGGCUCAGAAGCAGCCACUCAUUCAAAGAGUGCGUAAUAGCUCACUGGUCGAGCGUCUUUGCGCGGAGAAUUUAACGGGGCUAAACCUGACACCGAAGCUUAGGCAAUGUAGUAAUACAUUGGGUAGGGGAGCGUUGUAUACGCGGAGAAACAGUAGCGCAAGCGGCUGUGGAGUGUAUAGAAGUGAGAAUGCCGGAAUGAGUAGCGCGAAUGCAGUGAGAAUCUGCAUGGCCGAAAGCCUCAGGUUUCUGGAGGAAGGUUCGUCCGCUCCAGGUUAGUCGGGAGCUAAGGUGAGGCCGAAAGGCGUAGCCGAUGCACAGACGGUAGAGAUUCCGUCACCACCAAAAGAGUUAAGCACAGGGACACAUAUGAAGUCUCAGAGCCGGGUGUUGGUUCCGGUAGAGAUCGAGGGAAGUUAGUACCGAAGUCUGAGAUGGAAGAUGGCGAGAAAAGCUGUGUGUAUUUCUGAGGUGCCCGUACCGCAAACCGACACAGGUAGGUAGGAAGAAGAUUCUAAGGCCAACGGGAGAAGGGUUGUUAAGGAACUCGGCAAAUUGACCCCGUAACUUCGGGAGAAGGGGUGCUCCAGAGAUGGAGCCGCAGAGAAUCGGCCCAAGCAACUGUUUACCAAAAACACAGGUUUGUGCUAAAUCGAAAGAUGACGUAUACGAGCUGACGCCUGCCCGGUGCUGGAAGGUUAAGAGGAGAUGUGCAAGCAUUGAAUCGAAGCCCCAGUGAACGGCGGCCGUAACUAUAACGGUCCUAAGGUAGCGAAAUUCCUUGUCAGGUAAG
RNAcentral lists this ribosomal RNA (1884 nucleotides) under human gut metagenome. RNAcentral's name for it is "bacterial LSU rRNA". It matches the Rfam family "Bacterial large subunit ribosomal RNA", at positions 3 to 1980 of the family's 2925-position model. The record is from RNAcentral.